This 493-nucleotide ribosomal RNA is filed under the name uncultured bacterium. RNAcentral's name for it is "partial 16S ribosomal RNA". It matches the Rfam family "Bacterial small subunit ribosomal RNA", at positions 29 to 507 of the family's 1533-position model. The record is from RNAcentral.
ACGCACGCUGGCGGCGUGCUUAACACAUGCAAGUCGAACGGUGAAGCGCCUUCCUUUUUGGUGGGUGUGGAUGAGUGGCGAACGGGUGAGUAACACGUGAGUAACCUGCCCCCUUCUUCUGGAUAACCGCAUGAAAGUGUGGCUAAUACGGGAUAUUCUGGGUCUGUCGCAUGAUGGGUCUGGGAAAGAUAUUGUUUCGGUGGGGGAUGGGCUCGCGGCCUAUCAGCUUGUUGGUGGGGUGAUGGCCUACCAAGGCGGUGACGGGUAGCCGGCCUGAGAGGGUGGACGGUCACACUGGGACUGAGACACGGCCCAGACUCCUACGGGAGGCAGCAGUGGGGAAUAUUGCACAAUGGGCGCAAGCCUGAUGCAGCGACGCCGCGUGAGGGAUGGAGGCCUUCGGGUUGUGAACCUCUUUCGCCAGUGAAGCAGGCCUGCCUCGUUUGUGGGUGGGUUGACGGUAGCUGGAUAAGAAGCGCCGGCUAACUACGUG